This 133-nucleotide ribosomal RNA is filed under the name uncultured bacterium. RNAcentral's name for it is "partial 16S ribosomal RNA". It matches the Rfam family "Bacterial small subunit ribosomal RNA", at positions 358 to 505 of the family's 1533-position model. The record is from RNAcentral.
GGAAUUUUCCGCAAUGGGCGAAAGCCUGACGGAGCAAUACCGCGUGAGGGAUGACGGCCUAUGGGUUGUAAACCUCUUUUUUCAGGGAGGAAUCAAUGACGUGUACCUGAAGAAUAAGCAUCGGCUAACUCCG